Molecule: transfer RNA, 76 nt
Filed under: Betaproteobacteria bacterium RBG_16_64_18
Lineage: Bacteria; Pseudomonadati; Pseudomonadota; Betaproteobacteria
Also listed under: 1 other name
Description: tRNA-Thr
Rfam family: tRNA
About the family: Transfer RNA (tRNA) molecules are approximately 80 nucleotides in length. Their secondary structure includes four short double-helical elements and three loops (D, anti-codon, and T loops).
Source: RNAcentral
GCUGGAGUAGCUCAGUUGGUAGAGCGCUUGAUUCGUAAUCAUGAGGUCGGAGGUUCGAUUCCUCUCUCCAGCACCA